ACUAUCAGUCAGGGUCAAGAACUCUUGAAGACCGAUCCGUAUUGCUGUUAUCCUCCAGACAAAAUUCCAUCUUCGUGAGACCCAUAGUUCUCCCCUGAAUUUCUGGCAUUUGAUUGUACUUGAAACAGGUUGUAAUCUCAAUUGGGGUCCAAAUUUUUUUUCUUCUGACAGAGUUGAUGGACGAUGGGCUCAAGAAUGCAAAGCGACUGGGAGGAAAAUUGGCCACCCGUGAAAGACAACUGCUGAGGGGAAAAACAUGUUCAAGAAAUGGACUAUGGAGAGGACAGUCUACCUCUUAUUGAAGUAUUUCCUAAAAUUCCAGUCCAGCUAAUGCGCUUUUUGGACAACUUUUUAUAGCUCAGAUGAAGGAAGAACGAAAUAAGGAGGCUACUUUUCUUAUUUCAGCCUUCAAGGUAUGUGCAGGAGUUAUUGUUUCAGUGUUUUUGUUCUCUCUUUGCUUUCUUUUUUUUUUCAAAUUUAUUUAGCAGUUUAUUCUUUGCACAACUAUUGAUGGAUUUUGGGUAAGUCAUUGGAGGCUGUUUAUGGAUUUCAAGGUGAAGAAGUGGAUAAAGAAUCUAAACUGACACCUUAUGGUGAAAAAAUUAGUCGAGGUAUGUGGUGAUGGAAAUAUCACAAUUAGCCUGGCACUAUUGUCUUUGAGCUACUGGAAGAUGAUCAAUGUGGUUCUUUACAAACUAAAAUUGAAGGAUAUAGCAGUCCAGAUGCCAAGUCAAACCCUUUACAAGACCCUCGGACUAGCUUUGGA
Coffea arabica (coffee) is the source of this 766-nucleotide non-coding RNA. The record is from RefSeq and is a predicted model, not a curated record. NCBI's taxonomy places the organism in Eukaryota, Viridiplantae, Streptophyta, Magnoliopsida, Gentianales, Rubiaceae.